UGAACAAUCAAUUUAGUAUGACCAGUUG
RNAcentral lists this small RNA (28 nucleotides) under Bombyx mori (domestic silkworm). Its description in RNAcentral is "ovarian small RNA-30649". Lineage: Eukaryota; Metazoa; Arthropoda; Insecta; Lepidoptera; Bombycidae. The record is from RNAcentral.